RNAcentral lists this non-coding RNA (100 nucleotides) under Staphylococcus microti. Its description in RNAcentral is "TPP sequence". It matches the Rfam family "TPP riboswitch aptamer (THI element)". From Rfam's summary of the family: Vitamin B(1) in its active form thiamin pyrophosphate (TPP) is an essential coenzyme that is synthesised by coupling of pyrimidine and thiazole moieties in bacteria. The previously detected thiamin-regulatory element, thi box was extended, resulting in a new, highly conserved RNA secondary structure, the THI element, which is widely distributed in eubacteria and also occurs in some archaea. Lineage: Bacteria; Bacillati; Bacillota; Bacilli; Caryophanales; Staphylococcaceae. The record is from RNAcentral.
UAUGACUACUAGGGGCGCUAUUAGCUGAGAUGAAGACAACUUCAAACCCUUUGAACCUGAUUUGGAUGAUACCAACGUAGGGAAGUAGCUCGAAAAAAUG